CGCGCAGGCGGAUGGUUGCGUCCGGAGUGAAAUUUCGCCGCUCAACGGCGAAGCUGCUUUGGAUACGGACCGUCUAGGGACCGGUAGAGGCUGGUAGAAUUGCAGGUGUAGCGGUGGAAUGCGUAGAGAUCUGCAAGAAUACCCGUGGCGAAGGCGGCCAGCUGGGCCGGAUCCGACGCUGAGGCGCGAAAGCGUGGGGAGCAAACAGGAUUAGAUACCCUGGUAGUCCACGCCGUAAACGAUGGGCACUAGGUGCCGGGGGGAGCGACCCCCUCGGUGCCGCAGCUAACGCGAUAAGUGCCCCGCCUGGGGAGUACGGCCGCAAGGCUGAA
This 332-nucleotide ribosomal RNA is filed under the name uncultured Gemmatimonadota bacterium. RNAcentral describes it as "bacterial SSU rRNA". It matches the Rfam family "Bacterial small subunit ribosomal RNA", at positions 568 to 898 of the family's 1533-position model. The record is from RNAcentral. Lineage: Bacteria; Pseudomonadati; Gemmatimonadota.